UACGUAGGGUGCGAGCGUUAAUCGGAAUCACUGGGCAUAAAGCGCACGUAGGCGGCUAGGUCCGUCCGAUGUGAAAGCCCCCGGCUCAACCGGGGAAUUGCAUCGGAUACAGCCUGGCUUGAGGACGGUUGGGGAGAGUGGAAUUCCCGGUGGAGCGGUGAAAUGCGUAGAGAUCGGGAAGAACGCCGGCGGCGAAAGCGACUCUCUGGUCGGAAUCUGACGCUGAGGUGCGAAAGCUAGGGGAGCAAACGGG
Molecule: ribosomal RNA, 253 nt
Filed under: uncultured bacterium
Lineage: Bacteria
Description: partial 16S ribosomal RNA
Rfam family: Bacterial small subunit ribosomal RNA
Source: RNAcentral